Molecule: ribosomal RNA, 1831 nt
Filed under: Chloridium detriticola var. detriticola
Lineage: Eukaryota; Fungi; Ascomycota; Sordariomycetes; Chaetosphaeriales; Chaetosphaeriaceae
Description: partial large subunit ribosomal RNA
Rfam family: Eukaryotic large subunit ribosomal RNA
Source: RNAcentral
UUGACCUCGAAUCAGGUAGGAAUACCCGCUGAACUUAAGCAUAUCAAUAAGCGGAGGAAAAGAAACCAACAGGGAUUGCCUCAGUAACGGCGAGUGAAGCGGCAACAGCUCAAAUUUGAAAUCUGGCCUCCUGGUCCGAGUUGUAAUUUGCAGAGGAUGCUUCGGGCGCGGUGCCUUCCAAGUCCCCUGGAACGGGGCGCCGGAGAGGGUGAGAGCCCCGUACGGUUGGCGGCCAAGCCUGUGUGAAGCUCCUUCGACGAGUCGAGUAGUUUGGGAAUGCUGCUCUAAGCGGGAGGUAGACCCCUUCUAAAGCUAAAUAUUGGCCAGAGACCGAUAGCGCACAAGUAGAGUGAUCGAAAGAUGAAAAGCACUUUGAAAAGAGGGUUAAACAGCACGUGAAAUUGUUGAAAGGGAAGCGCUUGAGACCAGACGUGCGCCGGGGUGCUCAGCGGGCGUUCUCGCCCGUGCACUCGCCCCGGCGCAGGCCAGCGUCGGUUUGGGCGGGGGGAUAAAGGCGUCUGGAAUGUGGCUCCCCCGGGAGUGUUAUAGCCAGGCGUGCCAUGCCUCCGCCCGGACCGAGGUACGCGUUCUGCAAGGACGCUGGCGUAAUGGUCCCCAGCGACCCGUCUUGAAACACGGACCAAGGAGUCGAGGUUUUGCGCGAGUGUUUGGGUGAAAAACCCGCACGCGUAAUGAAAGUGAACGUAGGUGAGAGCUUCGGCGCAUCACCGACCGAUCCUGAUGUUUUCGGAUGGAUUUGAGUAAGAGCGUAGGGCCUCGGACCCGAAAGAUGGUGAACUAUGCUUGGAUAGGGUGAAGCCAGAGGAAACUCUGGUGGAGGCUCGCAGCGGUUCUGACGUGCAAAUCGAUCGUCAAAUCUGAGCAUGGGGGCGAAAGACUAAUCGAACCAUCUAGUAGCUGGUUACCGCCGAAGUUUCCCUCAGGAUAGCAGUGUUGUUCUUCAGUUUUAUGAGGUAAAGCGAAUGAUUAGGGACUCGGGGGCGCUAUUUAGCCUUCAUCCAUUCUCAAACUUUAAAUAUGUAAGAAGCCCUUGUUGCUUAAUUGAACGUGGGCAUUCGAAUGUACCAACACUAGUGGGCCAUUUUUGGUAAGCAGAACUGGCGAUGUGGGAUGAACCAUACGGGGGGUUAAGGUGCCAGAGUAGACGCUCAUCAGACACCACAAAAGGCGUUAGCACAUCUUGACAGCAGGACGGUGGCCAUGGAAGUCGGAAUCCGCUAAGGACUGUGUAACAACUCACCUGCCGAAUGUGCUAGCCCUGAAAAUGGAUGGCGCUCAAGCGUCUCACCCAUACCCCCCCCUCAGGGUAGACACGAUGCCCUGAGGAGUAGGCGGCCGCAGUGCUGUGUGACGAAGGCUAGGGCGUGAGCCCGGCUCGAACCGGCGCUGGUGCGGAUCUUGGUGGUAGUAGCAAAUACUUCAAUGAGAACUUGAAGGACCGAAGUGGGGAAAGGUUCCAUAUGAACAGCGGUUGGAUGUGGGUUAGUCGAUCCUAAGCCAUAGGGAAGUUCCGUUUCAAAGGGGCACUUGUGCCCCGUGUGGCGAAAGGGAAGCCGGUUAAUAUCCCGGCACCUGGAUGUGGGUUUUUCGCGGCAACGCAACCGAACGCGGAGACGGCGGCGGGGGCCCCGGGCAGAGUUCUCUUUUCUUCUUAACGGCCUCUCACCCUGGAAACAGUUUGUCUGGAGAUAGGGUUUAACGACCGGAAGAGCCCGGCACUUCUGCCGGGUCCGGCGCGCCCCCGACGUCCCUUGAAAAUCCGCGGGAGGGAAUAAUUCUCACGCUAGGUCGUACUCAUAACCGCAGCAGG